Molecule: ribosomal RNA, 257 nt
Filed under: uncultured bacterium
Lineage: Bacteria
Description: partial 16S ribosomal RNA
Rfam family: Bacterial small subunit ribosomal RNA
Source: RNAcentral
ACGGUACAACGAGUCGCAAGCUCGCGAGAGUAAGCUAAUCUCUUAAAGCCGUUCUCAGUUCGGACUGUAGGCUGCAACUCGCCUACACGAAGUCGGAAUCGCUAGUAAUCGCGGAUCAGCAUGCCGCGGUGAAUACGUUCUCGGGCCUUGUACACACCGCCCGUCACACCAUGGAAGUUGGGGGCGCCCGAAGUUGGUCGAGGAAUAGAUUACCUAAGGCGAAACCAAUGACUGGGGUGAAGUCGUAACAAGGUAUC